Molecule: ribosomal RNA, 708 nt
Filed under: Triticum aestivum (bread wheat)
Lineage: Eukaryota; Viridiplantae; Streptophyta; Magnoliopsida; Poales; Poaceae
Description: partial small subunit ribosomal RNA
Source: RNAcentral
AUGGAGGCAAAAACAGAGAGUGCAACUCGUCUUCAAGAGAUCCUCGCGCUGUAUGAGGCUCAGUCUGGCGAGAAAAUCAAUAGGGACAAAUCUUAUGCUUUCUUCAGUAAGGGAACAAACAACCAAACUAAACAACAUGUGUUGCAUGUCCUUGGCAUACCUUUUGAAUCACAGAAUGAGCGGUAUCUCGGGUUACCGGUGCACAUUGGGGCAGCCAGGAGUAAGGAAUUUGAGUACAUAAAGGAAAAUAUCUGGAGAAGAAUCCAGGGAUGGAUAGAGAAGCUCUUGUCCAAAGUAGGUAAGGAAACACUAAUUAAAGCGGUUGCCCAGGCAAUACCCACAUAUGCAAUGUCCUGCUUUGAUCUUACAAAGAAUUUAUGUGAAGAGAUCACCUCCAUGAUCUGCCGUUACUGGUGGAUCCAGCAGGAUGGCCAGCACAAGUGUCACUGGGUUGGGCAAGAGAGAUUGAUGAAAGCAAAGAGGGAUGGAGGCCUUGGCUUCCGUGACCUUCACAUUUUCAACAUGGCGAUGCUUGCACGACAAUGCUGGAGACUAACUCAAAACCCAGAAUCGUUAUGUGUUGUGGUUCUCAAAGCCAAGUACCAUCCCAACUGCUCUAUUCUAAACACGACAAAACGAGAGGGCACGUCCUACACAUGGAGGAGUAUACUCCGGGGAAGAGAUUUCCUGAAGGAGGGCAUCGUAUGA